UGGGGAAUAUUGCGCAAUGGGGGGAACCCUGACGCAGCCAUGCCGCGUGAAUGAAGAAGGCCUUAGGGUUGUAAAGUUCUUUCGGUAUUGAGGAAGGUUGAUGUGUUAAUAGCACAUCAAAUUGACGUUAAAUACAGAAGAAGCACCGGCUAACUCCGUGCCAGCAGCCGCGGUAAUACGGAGGGUGCGAGCGUUAAUCGGAAUAACUGGGCGUAAAGGGCACGCAGGCGGUUAUUUAAGUGAGGUGUGAAAGCCCCGGGCUUAACCUGGGAAUUGCAUUUCAGACUGGGUAACUAGAGUACUUUAGGGAGGGGUAGAAUUCCACGUGUAGCGGUGAAAUGCGUAGAGAUGUGGAGGAAUACCGAAGGCGAAGGUAGCCCCUUGGGAAUGUACUGACGCUCAUGUGCGAAAGCGUGGGGAGCAAACAGGAUUAGAUACCCUGGUAGUCCACGCUGUAAACGCUGUCGAUUUGGGGGUUGGGGUUUAACUCUGGCGCCCGUAGCUAACGUGAUAAAUCGACCGCCUGGGGAGUACGGCCGCAAGGUUA
This 547-nucleotide ribosomal RNA is filed under the name uncultured bacterium. RNAcentral's name for it is "bacterial SSU rRNA". It matches the Rfam family "Bacterial small subunit ribosomal RNA", at positions 355 to 896 of the family's 1533-position model. The record is from RNAcentral.